GAGUUUGAUCGUGGCUCAGAUUGAACGCUGGCGGCAUGCCUUACACAUGCAAGUCGAACGGCAGCAUGAUCUAGCUUGCUAGAUUGAUGGCGAGUGGCGAACGGGUGAGUAAUACAUCGGAACGUGCCCUGUAGUGGGGGAUAACUAGUCGAAAGAUUAGCUAAUACCGCAUACGACCUGAGGGUGAAAGUGGGGGACCGCAAGGCCUCAUGCUAUAGGAGCGGCCGAUGUCUGAUUAGCUAGUUGGUGGGGUAAAGGCCCACCAAGGCGACGAUCAGUAGCUGGUCUGAGAGGACGAUCAGCCACACUGGGACUGAGACACGGCCCAGACUCCUACGGGAGGCAGCAGUGGGGAAUUUUGGACAAUGGGCGAAAGCCUGAUCCAGCAAUGCCGCGUGCGUGAAGAAGGCCU
RNAcentral lists this ribosomal RNA (412 nucleotides) under uncultured microorganism. Its description in RNAcentral is "bacterial SSU rRNA". It matches the Rfam family "Bacterial small subunit ribosomal RNA", at positions 9 to 417 of the family's 1533-position model. The record is from RNAcentral.